RNAcentral lists this unclassified non-coding RNA (273 nucleotides) under Hevea brasiliensis (rubber tree). The record is from RNAcentral. Lineage: Eukaryota; Viridiplantae; Streptophyta; Magnoliopsida; Malpighiales; Euphorbiaceae.
GUGUCUUUGUGCAUGGGUUUCAGGCAAGUCUUUUCUAUACUUUCUAUUGAAUGCUUAAAUUGCAUAUCUUUUUUCCUUUUGGUUUGGUUCCUCUAUGUGUGUGUGUGUGCACGUGUUUUCUUUGGUCUGCUCCUUUUCUUUCAAGAGCAAAUUUAACAGUGGAACCAGGGCAGUUUGUAUACGGUGCAUUUGGUGCUAUAUUUGUGGCUGUUUUACAAACAAUGGUACUUUAGUUGACCUUAUAUAAUGUACCUGAAUUUUGUUACUGAUAUG